This 368-nucleotide ribosomal RNA is filed under the name Salmonella enterica subsp. enterica serovar Heidelberg. RNAcentral describes it as "bacterial LSU rRNA". It matches the Rfam family "Bacterial large subunit ribosomal RNA", at positions 1093 to 1378 of the family's 2925-position model. Lineage: Bacteria; Pseudomonadati; Pseudomonadota; Gammaproteobacteria; Enterobacterales; Enterobacteriaceae. The record is from RNAcentral. RNAcentral also lists the same sequence under 1 other name.
CCAGGAUGUUGGCUUAGAAGCAGCCAUCAUUUAAAGAAAGCGUAAUAGCUCACUGGUCGAGUCGGCCUGCGCGGAAGAUGUAACGGGGCUAAACCAUGCACCGAAGCUGCGGCAGCGAACGUAUCACUUAAAGCGAUUCAGCGGGUUACGAUUGACGGAGCGAAGCGACGUCAAAGCGUAUACAAAGUCGAGUCGGUUUAAGGAUACGUUCGUUGGGUAGGGGAGCGUUCUGUAAGCCUGUGAAGGUGGCCUGUGAGGGUUGCUGGAGGUAUCAGAAGUGCGAAUGCUGACAUAAGUAACGAUAAAGCGGGUGAAAAGCCCGCUCGCCGGAAGACCAAGGGUUCCUGUCCAACGUUAAUCGGGGCAGG